UUGAUUAGUAUAUACAGUACAGCUUCUUUCCAAGUAGUAAGCCUACUAACAGUAGAUUAAAA
RNAcentral lists this transfer RNA (62 nucleotides) under Virpazaria ripkeni. RNAcentral's name for it is "tRNA-Gly". The record is from RNAcentral. Lineage: Eukaryota; Metazoa; Mollusca; Gastropoda; Stylommatophora; Spelaeodiscidae.